This 502-nucleotide unclassified non-coding RNA is filed under the name Hevea brasiliensis (rubber tree). Lineage: Eukaryota; Viridiplantae; Streptophyta; Magnoliopsida; Malpighiales; Euphorbiaceae. The record is from RNAcentral.
GGGGAAGAGGGUGACGUGUAACAGAAUCGGGGGGCGAAGGCGAUAUAUACAGUACAAUGCAACUACAUACAUGCACUGACGCCGUUACUUUACUCAUAUUCAUACUUUUAUCUUGUUUUGAUCAAAGCCUUGUACAUAUCUCUUUCUUCUCAUCUUUACCACCCUGCAUACUCCUCUAAAUCUUGCCUAGGAUCACAGCAGAGUGGAAGAGAGAAGCAUCUCAGAUUCUUUAAGAGUCUCCAAUUUCAUGUUCGAUCAAGAGGAGAAUUCAUAGGAUGAAAAAAUGGCUGCUCCAAUAAGCAUAAAUCCUAAAUCCCAAAUAUUCAGAAAUCAGAAGCGCAUCAAAGGUGGCAGGGCACGACAGAGCCAGAACCAAAAAAAAACCCGACUCCCAAAACACCUAAAAGGCCAAAACCAAAGAUUUCAAUCCCAUAUCCAAAAUCUAUGAAAAAUCAACCAAAACAUAUCAAUUUGAAAAAUUUUAAAAAUAAUAAUAAAAUAA